Anneissia japonica is the source of this 1150-nucleotide long non-coding RNA. RefSeq lists it as uncharacterized. NCBI's taxonomy places the organism in Eukaryota, Metazoa, Echinodermata, Crinoidea, Comatulida, Comatulidae. The record is from RefSeq and is a predicted model, not a curated record. The transcript is spliced from 2 exons.
CAGUAUAAUUUUAUUUAUCUUUGCAUUUGCAAGAAGGUUUUACACAUGGUGGCUAUAUGUAUAUAUAAAUAACAUGGAAAUACAGACUCGGCUAAAAUAAAAUACAUAGUUUAUGCAUUAUAAUGUAUUCAUGGCAAAGUUUUUGUGUUUGGCAUAUGAUACUGAUUAAUAAAAUAAAUCAUUGCUAAACAUUAUAUAUAAAUCUCUAAUUGUAAGUGAUAUAUAUGUUGCUGUGUAGCAUGAGUGAUACCUGAUCUCAUAUUUUUGAUAUAUGAUGAUUGAUAAACCUAAAAUCUACUGUAUCACAAACACCAAUAAAUUAACAGACAUAAAAUCAGUUUUGAAGUGAGCAAAAACAGAACAGUGUUGUACUGAAAAUUGCAGAGGUACCAAUAUAUUACAGUACCUCCCCAUUCAAACUUUUUUAAGUAAAAAUGUAAAAGUAAGUUUUCUUAUAGAUUGUUUGCUGUGUACUAUAUAUAUUUUGUUAAAUAGUAAUCAUAGUUAUUAUUCAGGUAUUUUAAUUUAAUGUAUGGAGGUUUAAUUUUUUGUAUGAAGUUAUAUUUUGAGAAAAUGAACUCUUGACUAUGAAUGGAACUGUUGAAUAUUCAUUUCCAGAUUGAGUAAACCAAGAUUAUCUUAUAUAAUAAUAUGUAUAUAUUAUAGGUUUUCAUGACGGUAUGUACAUACUUAGAAUUCAGAUACAAGCAUUGUUCAUUUACCUAGCAUAUGAAGAGUUCAUAUUCAUAUUAUGUUACAAUUGUUAGCAGUUUAUGGAAAUUUAAGUUGUAUAGUCACAGUGUGUUACUGUACAUUUUAUUAGAUCUACAGUAUAUGUUUUUUUCUUCACUCUGGUUUUGUUAAUGUUGCGACAUUUAUCAUUAAAACAAGCAUUUUAAAACCUGUAUUCAUAACACAAACCAAAUGCAAGUAGGGUUUUAUUACUGUUAAGAGAUAGUAUAAUGUACAGCGUUGUUGUUUAGGGGUACAAUUAACUUUACCAUCUUGGGGUGGCUCACUAUCCUUUCAUCUGCCCCUAAUGGUUAUUUUCCAGUAAGCUGUAGCACAUGGAAAGUUGUACAGCGUUGCCUUAUUGGUUGUGCAGCAUAAAGGUACUGCACUAAAACUAAAAAUGAAAUGUUUGUUUGGU